GAUGAACGCUGGCGGCGUGCCUAAUACAUGCAAGUCGAGCGAACAGACGAGGAGCUUGCUCCUCUGACGUUAGCGGCGGACGGGUGAGUAACACGUGGAUAACCUACCUAUAAGACUGGGAUAACUUCGGGAAACCGGAGCUAAUACCGGAUAAUAUAUUGAACCGCAUGGUUCAAUAGUGAAAGAAGGUUUUGCUGUCACUUAUAGAUGGAUCCGCGCCGCAUUAGCUAGUUGGUAAGGUAACGGCUUACCAAGGCGACGAUGCGUAGCCGACCUGAGAGGGUGAUCGGCCACACUGGAACUGAGACACGGUCCAGACUCCUACGGGAGGCAGCAGUAGGGAAUCUUCCGCAAUGGGCGAAAGCCUGACGGAGCAACGCCGCGUGAGUGAUGAAGGUCUUCGGAUCGUAAAACUCUGUUAUUAGGGAAGAAUAAAUGUGUAAGUAACUAUGCACGUCUUGACGGUACCUAAUCAGAAAGCCACGGCUAACUACGUGCCAGCCGCCGCAGUAA
RNAcentral lists this ribosomal RNA (513 nucleotides) under uncultured bacterium. Its description in RNAcentral is "partial 16S ribosomal RNA". It matches the Rfam family "Bacterial small subunit ribosomal RNA", at positions 28 to 523 of the family's 1533-position model. The record is from RNAcentral.